Molecule: unclassified non-coding RNA, 328 nt
Filed under: soil metagenome
Description: partial contains 5.8S ribosomal RNA, internal transcribed spacer 2, and large subunit ribosomal RNA
Rfam family: 5.8S ribosomal RNA (bases 1-120)
Source: RNAcentral
GAUGAAGAACGUAGCGAAAUGCGAUAAGUAAUGUGAAUUGCAGAAUUCCGUGAAUCAUCGAAUCUUUGAACGCACAUUGCGCCCCUUGGUAUUCCGAGGGGCAUGCCUGUUCGAGCGUCAUUAUAACCCCUCAAGCUCAGCUUGGUGUUGGGGCCUGCCGCACGGGCAGCCCUUAAAAUCAGUGGCGGUGCCAUCUGGCUCUAAGCGUAGUAAUUCUUCUCGCUAUAGAGUCCCGGUGGAUGCUUGCCAUUAACCCCCAAUUUUCUAUGGUUGACCUCGGAUCAGGUAGGGAUACCCGCUGAACUUAAGCAUAUCAAUAAGCGGAGGA